CAGGCCAGCCUGACACGUGGUGCAAUAUUAUUACUUGUAGCACCUGGUCAUGGUACUGAUAUUGUGCACGGCAUUUAGCCAUCAGCUGUUUUGGUACUCUUGAGAAUGCCAAAGGCAGCUAAUGCAUUUGAACUUCGCUGUUCCAGAUGCAAUGACCGGUCUGUGUUUGAACAGAAAUUUGUGUAGCAAAGGGAGUAGUGCGGAGUGCGAACACAGGCAUAAGAGUUCACCUGUGCAGAUCUGACUGCAGGAUGACUGCCUAUUAUAGCUACAAACAAUUGAAAGUGAUGCAGGAAGAGAUGCUAUCAGCCAAAAUGGGGAGAGGGUCCCUUAAGAGGGAAUAUGUAUGAGGAAGUGAGAAUCUGCCUACUGAUGUGGUUAGAAGCAGCAGAGGGAAAGCGGGAUAUUUCCAAACAUGCCGCAUAACAGAAUUUUCCACAUGCAUCCCGUGAAACAAACUUCUUAGAUUUUUGUUAAAUCUCGGGAGAGCAGGAAAA
Mauremys mutica (yellowpond turtle) is the source of this 497-nucleotide long non-coding RNA. RefSeq lists it as uncharacterized. Lineage: Eukaryota; Metazoa; Chordata; Testudines; Geoemydidae. The transcript is spliced from 3 exons. The record is from RefSeq and is a predicted model, not a curated record.